CAAUAGCGUAUAUUAAUGUUGUUGCAGUUAAAAAGCUCGUAGUUGAAUUUCUGGGUAGUCCUCUUUGUCUGCCUUCGCGGGUGUGAACAAAGUUCAGGUCUACUCAUCCUUCUGAAGAACCUAUGUGGCAUUCAGUUGUCAUGUAGGGGAUCAGAUACUUUACCUUGAAAAAAUUAGAGUGUUUCAGGCAGGCAAUCGCUGGAAUACAUUAGCAUGGAAUAAUCGAAUAGGACCCCGGUCUUAUUUGUUGGUUUUGUGGACCGAAGUAAUGAUUAAUAGGGAUAGUUGGGGGCAUUAGUAUUUAAUUGUCAGAGGUGAAAUUCAUGGAUUUGUUAAAGACUAACUUAUGCGAAAGCAUUUGCCAAGGAUGUUUNCAUUAA
Molecule: ribosomal RNA, 380 nt
Filed under: uncultured eukaryote
Lineage: Eukaryota
Description: partial 18S ribosomal RNA
Rfam family: Eukaryotic small subunit ribosomal RNA
Source: RNAcentral